GGCCCGUUCGUCCAGCGGACAGGACGCCUGGUUCUCAACCAGAAAACGGGGGUUCGAUUCCCCCACGGGUCAC
RNAcentral lists this transfer RNA (73 nucleotides) under Urbifossiella limnaea. RNAcentral describes it as "Planctomycetes bacterium ETA_A1 tRNA-Glu". It matches the Rfam family "tRNA". Rfam says of the family: Transfer RNA (tRNA) molecules are approximately 80 nucleotides in length. Their secondary structure includes four short double-helical elements and three loops (D, anti-codon, and T loops). The record is from RNAcentral. Lineage: Bacteria; Pseudomonadati; Planctomycetota; Planctomycetia; Gemmatales; Gemmataceae.